Molecule: long non-coding RNA, 395 nt
Filed under: Homo sapiens (human)
Lineage: Eukaryota; Metazoa; Chordata; Mammalia; Primates; Hominidae
Description: long intergenic non-protein coding RNA 3080
Source: RNAcentral
CCCAGGGCCACUUAGGGUGCGUCCACGCUGGGUGUGCCAGGCAUGCACGUGGGCUGCAGACGCCCAGGAGGCAGAGCCGAGCCUGCCAAGGUUAUGCGUGCACCUCUCAGCUCCCUGCUUAACACUGCGUUCCCGGGAGAGAGAUUUCUCCCUGGCUGCUUCACAUCCAGAGGAGAACAUCAGCUCUCAGCAGAACAUAAGGCCCUCUUCACCUGCCAGCUGGGCAACAGCAGUUACUCUCAUUGGAGACCCUUUCCCUUCGCCACUUCCCAGGCUACUCCAGACUGAAUGCAUUCAGGGAGUCACCUCCCAGGUCAAAACCUGCUGUGAUACCAUCACCCUGCAGCACAGACCACAGUCCCAAGCCUCCCAUUCUUGACUCUAACACCAGCCCA